Molecule: ribosomal RNA, 253 nt
Filed under: uncultured Acidobacteriota bacterium
Lineage: Bacteria; Pseudomonadati; Acidobacteriota
Also listed under: 1 other name
Description: uncultured Acidobacteria bacterium partial 16S ribosomal RNA
Rfam family: Bacterial small subunit ribosomal RNA
Source: RNAcentral
UACGUAGGCAGCAAGCGUUGUUCGGAGUUACUGGGCGUAAAGAGUGCGUAGGCGGUUGCUUAAGUUUGGUGUGAAAUCUCCCGGCUCAACUGGGAGGGUGCGCCGAAAACUGGGCAGCUUGAGUGUCGGAGAGGUAUGCGGAAUUCCUGGUGUAGCGGUGAAAUGCGUAGAUAUCAGGAGGAACACCUGUGGUGUAGACAGCAUACUGGACGAUAACUGACGCUGAGGCACGAAAGCGUGGGUAGCAAACAGG